CUCUCUCUCUCUCUCCUGCUGCAUUGUGAAGAAACUGCUUGCUUCCCUCUCACCCUCUGCAGUUUCCUGAGGCCUCCCCAGCCAUGCGGAACGGCCAGAUGCAGUGCCUCAUGCCUGUAAUCCCAGCACUUUGGGAGGCUGAGGGAGGAUUGCUUGAGCCUGCUUCCAUAUCGUAAACUGCCUUGGAACCAAUUACCACUACCAGGGAGACAAACUAUUGCUUAGAGGAUGCUGACAGGAGCAGCAUGCCAAAAUUGGAAGAAAACCUUCCACUGGCCACUCAGCGAAAGGCAGCUGAUUCAGCACCUGGAGAAGACCGGCAACAGGGCUGAGUUUCCUUGCACUGCAGAGGAGGGGAGAGGCAAGGAGUGGACAUGAGCACGGAGGAUCCAGGGCACUCCCUUGAUGGUGAUGCCCUCGAAGGGCUGCCCCGUGCCCAUUGUACAGAAUGUGGAUUCCACCCCACGCCAUGAGAGCUCUCGCGCAGGCCCAGACCACUUUAUAAGCCAUAUUUCCCACCAAUUCCUGUUUCUGGAUCUGUCAGGUUAUUUCAUAUUUCUAGGCCCUUAGCUUUGCUUCCUCUUCCCUGAACGCCCUUUGCCCACAUCAUCCCAGCUCUCCUUCUCCUCCUGCCUUCUGUCUUCUCUUCCUCUCAUUUCUUGUCACCCAGGCUGGAGUCCAGUGGCGUGAUCACGGCUCACUACAGCCUUGAACUCCCGGGCUCAGGUGAUCCUCCCACCUGAGCCUCCCGAGUAGCUGGGACUACAGAUGCACACCACCAUGCCAGCUAAUUUUUAAAACUGUUUUUAGGGAUGGGGUCAUCUUCCUGUGUUGCCCAGGCUUGUCUCAAACUCCUGGGCUCAAGUGAUCCUCUCACCUCAGCCUUCCAAAGUGCUGGGAUUACAGGCAUGAGCCACAACAUCCAGCCCCUUUUCUCUUUUCUUACCCUUCUUUCCUAUUUUCUUUUCCAUUUUCUUUCCCUCCCUUCUUCUUUCUUUCCUAACUAUUAAGGAGUAGAUUGAAUUCAAGGUCUUUAUGUGUGUCAGUUUUUGUUUUCCAACAAAUAUUUCUUAAAAACCAACCAUUGAAACGUAAUGGUAACCACUGGCCCCUGUCUCCACCUCCACACCUAAGAAGCCCCAAAUCCAGAUGUGUCCAUUAAAAUCAGUCCAGAUCUUCUUUACC
RNAcentral lists this long non-coding RNA (1185 nucleotides) under Homo sapiens (human). RNAcentral's name for it is "PREDICTED lncRNA (TCONS_00044581)". The record is from RNAcentral. Lineage: Eukaryota; Metazoa; Chordata; Mammalia; Primates; Hominidae.